This 446-nucleotide ribosomal RNA is filed under the name uncultured prokaryote. Its description in RNAcentral is "bacterial SSU rRNA". It matches the Rfam family "Bacterial small subunit ribosomal RNA", at positions 355 to 796 of the family's 1533-position model. The record is from RNAcentral.
UCGAGAAUCUUCCGCAAUGGGCGCAAGCCUGACGGAGCGACGCCGCGUGCGGGAUGAAGGCCCUUGGGUUGUAAACCGCUGUCAGAGGGGAUGAAAUCAUGGUUGGCUAUCCUUCCAUGUUGACAGAGCCUCAGAGGAAGCACGGGCUAAGUACGUGCCAGCAGCCGCGGUAACACGUACUGUGCGAACGUUAUUCGGAAUCACUGGGCUUAAAGGGUACGUAGGCGGCUGAUCAAGUCAGGUGUGAAAUGCCAGAGCUCAACUGUGGCACUGCGCUUGAAACUGAUUGGCUAGAGUAUUCCAGGGGUGUGCGGAACUGAUGGUGGAGCGGUGAAAUGCGUUGAUAUCAUCAGGAACACCAGAGGCGAAGGCGGCACACUGGGGGAUAACUGACGCUGAGGUACGAAAGCCAGGGUAGCGAACGGGAUUAGAUACCCCCGUAGUCC